RNAcentral lists this long non-coding RNA (344 nucleotides) under Elaeis guineensis (African oil palm). RNAcentral's name for it is "long non-coding RNA (EGUI_LNC074544)". The record is from RNAcentral. Lineage: Eukaryota; Viridiplantae; Streptophyta; Magnoliopsida; Arecales; Arecaceae.
AGUCAGAGGAGGCUUCUGCUCCAGAUGAUGGGGAGGCACAGAUUGAGGUUGUCAUUCAGACGAGCUUGGCUGAUCAGUACCGAUGGAGGAUAUGACUCGGUAUAGAGAGCGAUUUGGACCAUCAUGCUACGAAUCGGGAUCUGGAUCAACGAUCGAUGGGGGAGAAUUCAAGUUCAGGAGGACUACAUCAGUCAGAGAGCCCGAUGGUAGAGGGAGUAGACACAGCAUGUUAUCUUUGUUGGGAGCUUUUGGCAGUAGGAGGAGGUCCUCCAGAGAUAUUUCAGCAGGAGCUACCAUCUAUGAUUUGGAUCCACAUGCUUUGCCCAGUAAGGAUUCAAAGCAAC